AAUUGUGCCUCACUUCCUGUUUAUGUGUCUUUGUAGCAGCGACGGAAUGGAAAUUCAAUUCUUCCAGUAUCUCUGUUGUAGCUAGCUGGUAUGCAAUGAAAUGUAGCUUGCUACUGAAGUUUAAUUGGCUAGCUUUAAGCCAUAGAAAAGAUUUGGGCUAUGUUAUAUAAAUGGAAAUAUGUUUUCUACUUUAUUAUGUAUGUAAACACAUAGGUCGACAAGAUGGAGCCAUGAAGGACAGACAGCAUGGUUGUUCAGGAGAGUGUUUUAAAACCGUCACUGUUGAUUGGCCAGACAGCAACUGUACCACUGAAGAACGUUAGCAAGUUAGCGAGCUAGCUAAGUGUGCUGAGACUUGCGUUACAUCGACGGACUUCCAUCGCCUGUUCCAAUACGGUUCGUGAGUGUACUGUAAAAACUUGCCAUAACACAAGGACUGGGUCAGAUAUAAUGUUUCACCAACUUCCAUUGAGAGAUCCGGACCGAUUGAGACUAUGGCUAGUUGCCCUGAACAUUGACGCCAAUACUCCGCCUGACGACCUCAGAAAGUUACUAGUAUGCUCAGAACAUUUUCCCCGGGGACUAUUAUGAGAGAAUGGAACUGUCAAGAAGUAAGAUUAAAAGUUAUGUCCCAUCAGUGGGCAUUCUAUGCACAACAUGUAGGCAAGCCAUAGGAAAUCUUUGGCGAAGUCAUAUAAACGGACAUAUGUUUCCUAAUUCCUUAUUAUUGUGUUAAGAGGGAGCCAUGAAGGACAGAUAUCAUGGUUGGUCAGGAGAGGGUAUUAACACAGUCACUGUUGAUAGGCCAGAAGGCAGCAGUGCCACUGAAGAAUGUUGUCCGUCCAUUGAGGAGGACCAGUGCGUGAACAUUCAGCCCAGAAGCUCAGAUGAGUCGAACCACGGAGAACAGGUGAGUGAAGUGUCAGUGGUCCUUCCGUGUGAAUACAGAAACAUAGACGACAGUUGUUCCCUGAGGAUGGAAAGGAAUGGGUCUGUGAAGCAGGAGAAGUGUUGCCUCCUAUAGCGAGGAAGAGAAGAAGCUGUUGGCUGCCAUGGUGUUUGAGAAGGGGGGAACUGGGGCUGACUGGCUCUCUGGUGAUGGAGGUGACUGAGGAUCCACAGGACAGUGAUGCAGACACUGCACCCAACAGGGAGGAAAGGGCUCUGCACCUAGAGGAGGAGCAAGGAGAUGAGAGACAGACAGAUGAAGGGACUGCCCAGCAGAGAGGAGCGGCAGGCUAAUGCUGAGUGGGAACCCUCAGUGGAGCCGGAGGUGACUUUAGAUUCUGUUUGUGUGUUUGUGUGUGUGUGUGUGUGUGUGUGUGUGUGUGUGUGUGUGUGUGUGUGUGUGUAUGGAGCGCGAGAGAGACGGCGCGAGCGAGCCUACACUCCACGCCGACACAAGAAGCUGUGUGUGUGAUGGCCAGCCUGAGGAGCCUGUUGGGUUUGACAAACUCUGCAUGCGGUUUAAUGACCUCGGCAGUUAUGAGGAGCACGUCCGUCAAGAGCACUCCAAAAGUUCACGGCCUCUCUGUCCUGACUGUGGCAUCCUCAUCUCAACGUUACUCAGUGUGGGGCAUCAGUGUGAACAAGUUCAAGCUGUUCUGUCUGUGGGAAGCGCUGUGUGGAUGAAGCUGGCCUCAAGCAUCACCAGAGGCUUCACCAUCAAGAGCAUGUCUACUGUAAGUUCUGCCUCAAGCCAUUCAAGGCCAGGGAAGACAAGCGGACACACGAGAAGGACGACCACCAGGUCAAAAAGUUGCACUAUAGGUGCUCCAAAUGCCCCAUGGGAUUUUACAACAUCUUGAAACGGAACCACCAUCUCAGAGAGCAUGAGUCCAAGAGACAUUUGUAACAUGUGCUACAAGGAAUUUCCCCAACUUAGCAAGCUUGAGAGGCACGAGCUGAGCCACAGUGACAACAAAUCCUUCAGGUGUCAGGUGUGCCAGCGUUCCUUUGCCCAGCUCAGCCAGCUGAAGUCUUACCUGCACGUCCACACUGGGGAGAAGCCCUUCAAAUGCCAGCGCUGCGUCUAGAGCUUUAACCACAACGUCAGCCUCAAGAACCUCGUCACACGCUAUCACCAAGGGGAGAGUGGGGAGGGAGUGGAGGUGGGAGAGCGGAGGAGCAGGCGACAGAGGAAUCGACAGUUGAACUAUGAUCCUGAGGAGGAGGAGCGUCAGAAUGAGAGUGAUUCUGACUUUGACCUGGAGGAAGAGGAGAAGACGAGGAGUAAAGGGAAAGGUAGUGGAGGAGGGGGGCACUGGUAGAAGCCUCUAGGAGAGAUACAUGUGCACACUGCUGUUGAAAAGCUGGACACAUUACCAUCACCACCCCAGAGAGAACCAGACCAGAACAAGGAGCCACCUACCGGUGUCAUUAAAAAAAGUCUUAUCGGUUUUGUCAUGACCAUAAUGUUUUGGCUUUGAACAUUUCUUAGAACUCUUCAGGCUGUUGUUUUUUCACUUCUACAGUUUUGGUUUAAAAAUAUCUAUUGUUAAAGAAAAUGUGUUUCACUGUUCUACAUCAUCAAAUAUCCAUGAAAAAUCUGAUGGGUUUGUAAAGUGAAUGUUACAAAGAAUUUCCUCCCCACAGAUGUUAUUGGCUGAUAUAUUGCAUUUUGAGUUCUCCUGGUUGGACCGACCCACAAGUUAAGAAGCACAGAGAUAAACCCAUCUUGGAUAUAACCAGCGAGGAAACAAGAGGCUUGACUCCGCUCUAAAGUCUGUCAGUGCGAAAGUACAGUGUUAACCAGUGGAAUUGGGGAUUUUUUUAUGGAGGUCAAUGAGAGAAUGUCGAAUUUGGUCAACAGUUUAAUAAAGGUUACAUAAAA
Salmo salar (Atlantic salmon) is the source of this 2833-nucleotide long non-coding RNA. RefSeq lists it as uncharacterized. The record is from RefSeq and is a predicted model, not a curated record. Lineage: Eukaryota; Metazoa; Chordata; Actinopteri; Salmoniformes; Salmonidae.